RNAcentral lists this long non-coding RNA (6920 nucleotides) under Sus scrofa (pig). RNAcentral's name for it is "lncRNA (ENSSSCG00000060003.1)". The record is from RNAcentral. Lineage: Eukaryota; Metazoa; Chordata; Mammalia; Artiodactyla; Suidae.
UUCACGGAGUUUGUAGCCCACUUUUACACACUUGCCUCCAAAACCUCCAUUAUUUUCAACAAUGCCCUUAUUCAUGUACAUUUCAAUUUUGUGUACAGAUAAAGUCAGUCUUCUGUGACAGAGCUCUCCCUGGGACCUGGCUCUCCCCUGGCAGUACAUCUGGCCACUCCAUAGGAGCUGCAGGUAUAGACAGCAUAUGUGUCAAAUGGCAUCCCCUUACUACAAGUUGAUGUGAGAUAGAAUGGUAAACCAUGCUCAUCUUAGCUUGCGUCUCCUGGCAUAGAAACUGGCUUUACAAGUGAAAUGGGUCAAGGAAAACUGAGGAUCAGUGUCCUAGGACUGAACAAAACUCUCACCCUUUGAAUGACAGCUGGGUGAUUAAAAUUAUUCAUGCCCAUAUAAUAUAUAAAUUCCAAAUAGGAAAAGGAAUAGCAAAGUCUGAGGUCUAGCCUUGCUCAAGUGAAACCACAGUACUAGACUGGGAGCUUAGGACUGAAUGAAUUCCUUCUGUUAACCAGAUCUGUGCUGAAUAGAGGAAAUGAAACUGACCUGGGGGAAAGGAUUAUAUUAUAGAUUAAAUGCCAUAGUUUUUCCUGCAUCUAGCAGACAGGAUUGAAUAAAUGUUUCUGCAGUUUCUUCAUGGCUUUAGAUCAAUUUCCAGAGAUUUUAAUUUUUUUAAUUUUCAUAAAUUAAAUGGCUAUUGCAUUAAGGAGAGAGUCUUACCCUACAUAUUUACACAAUCACUCCAGAACUCCCACUCACCUGACAGUUUAAAGAGGAAAAAGCUACUAGAUAUCUAGACCCAUUAUAAAGCUAUAGGAAUUACAAUAAUAGAUGAGGAUGAGUGAAAUGAUGAGGCACAAUGCAUUUUCAAUAUCUAGUGUUGGUCAUUGAUAUCUAUGUGGAAACGAUGCAUCUUUACCUCUACCUUACAUUGUACAUGAAAGUCAAUACCAGAUGGAUUUAAGUUCUCAGUGUCAAAGGAAAAUCAAACUAUCAAAUGCAUAGAGAGAAAGGACCACAGGGUAGGCAACUUUACUUAAAAAAUAACCAAAUUGAAAGUAUAAACCUUACUUCUAAAUAGAACAGUAAAAAUAAAUGUGCCAACUCUUCGAUAUUUCCUCCCAUUCAGUAGAUGGUAUUUUCACUUUGUCGCUGGUUUCAUUUGCUGUGCAAAAGUUUUAUGUUUAAUUAGGUCCCAUUUCUCAAUUUUUUUUGAUUUGCUUUAGGAGACAGAUCCAAUAAAAAAUAUUGCUACAAUUUAUGUUAAUGAAUAGUCUGCCUCUGCUUUCCUCUAGGAAUGUUAUGAUUUCUAGUCUUACAUUUAGGUCUUUAAUCCCUUUUUAUUUUAUUUUUGAAUAUGGGAUGAGGAAAUGCUCUGAUUUCAUUCUUUUAUAUAUAUAGCUGUUCAGUUUUCCCAGCACCACUUAUUAAAGAGACUGUCUUUUUUCCACUGCAUUCUCUCGCCUCUUCUCUCAUAGAAUAAUUGACUUAUAAGAAGGGGUCAUUUAUGGGCUCCUUUUCUGUUCAAUUGAUCUAUGUGUCUGUCUUGGUGCCAGUACCAUACUAUUUUGAUUGCUGUAGCUUUGUAGUAGAGAUGAAAUCAGAAAGCAGGAUACCUCCAGUUUUGUUAUCCUUUCUCAGGAUUGUUUUGGCUACUUGGGGUCUUUUCUGUUCCCAUACAAAUUUUAGAAUUAUUUGUACUAGUUCUGUGGAAAAUACCAUUUGUAUUUUGAUAGGCAUUUCACUGAAUCUGCACAUUGCUUUUUGGUGUAUUGUCAUUUUAACAAUAUUAAUUCUUCCAAUCCAUGACAGUGGGGCAACUUUCCAUUUCUGCUCUUUUCAAUUUCUUUCAUCAGUAUCUUAUAGUUUUCAGAGUACAGGUCUUUUGUCUCUUUAAGUGCAUUUAUUCCUAGGUAUUUUCUUCUUUUUGAUACAAUCACAAAUGGGACUGUUUCCUAAUUACUCUUUCUGAAAGUUUGUUCCUGGUGUACAGAUAUGCAACAGAUUCCUGAAUCCAAAUUCUGUAUCCUGUAGCUUUGCUGAAUUUAUUCACUGGGGUGGCAUCUUUAGGAUUUCCUAUUUAUAGUAUCAUGUCUUCUUUAAACAGUGACAGUUUUACAUCUUCCUUUCCAAUUUGGAUUCCUUUUAUUUCUUUUUAUUUUCCAAUUGCUGUGGUUAGGGCUUCUAAUACCAUGGGAAUAAAAGUGGUGAGAGUAGAGUGAGCACCCUUGUCUUAUUCCUGAUCUUAAAGGAAAUUUUUCAGCUUUUCACAAUUGAGUAUGGUAUUAGCCAUGGGAUUGUCACAUUUGGCCUUUUCCAUAGUGGUUGUACCAAUUUACGUUCCCAUCAACAGUGUAGAGGGUUCCCUUUUGUCCACAUCCUCUCCAGCAGCUACUGUUUGUAGACAUUUUGGACCAGUGUGAGGUGCUACCUCACUGUAGCACUUCUGUGGUAAUCAGCGAUACUGAGCAUCUUUUCAUGUGUUUUUUUUUUUUUUUUUUUUUUUUUUUGGCCAUUGGGCUAUCUUCUUUGAAGAUAUGUCUAUGUAGAUAUUCUGUCCAUUUUUUGAUAGGGUUGUUUGUUUUUUGAUACUGAGCUGCAUACGUUGUUUGCAUAUUUUCGGAGACUAAUCUCUUGUCAGUCACUUCAUUUGCAGAGAUUUUCUUCCAUUCUGUGGGUUGUCUUUUCACUUUAUGAUUUCCUUUGCUAUGCAAAAGCUUUUAAGUUUAAUUUGGUCCCAUUUGUUUACUUUUGUUUCUGUUUUGCUUAUCCUAGGAGGUGGAUCCAAAAAGAUAUUGCUGCAAUUUAUGCCAAGGAGUCUUCCACAUCUGCUUUCCUGCAGGAAUUUUAUAAUAUACAGUUUUACAUUAAGGUUUUUAAACCAUUUUGAGUUUAUUUUUGUGUGUGAUAUUAAAGAGUGUUCUACGUUCAUUCUUUACAUGGAGCUGUCCAGUUUUACCAGCACAGCUGAUUGAAGAGACUGUCUUUUAUCCACUGUAUAUUCUUGCUCCCUUAGUCAGAAAUUAGAUGACCCUAGGUAUGUGGGUUUAUUUCUGGGCUUUCCAUCCUAUUCCAUUGAUCUAUAUUUCUGUUUUUGUGACAAUACUCUGCUGUUUUGAAGACUGGAGCUUUGUAAUAUAUUCUGAAGUCAGGAAGCCUGAUUGCUCCAGUUCCACUUUUCUUCCUCAGGAUUGCUUUGGCUAUUCAUGGCCUUUUGUAUUUCCAUACAAAUUUUAAAAUUUUUUGUCCUAGUUUUGUGAAAAAUGCCAUUGGUAAUUUGAUAGGGAUAGCAUGGAUUGCCUUGGGUAGUAGAGUCAUUUAGACAACAUUGAUUCUUCCAAUCUAAGAGAAUGGCAUAUCUUUCUAUCCAUUUAUCUUCAGUUUCUUUCAUCAGUGUCUAUAGUUUUCAAAAUACAGGUCUUUUGCCUCCAUGGGUAGCUUUAUUUCUAGGUGUUUUACUCUUUUGGAACAAUGGUAAAUAGGAUUGUUUCCUGAAUUUCUCUUUCUGAUCUUUUGUUGUUAGUGUAUAGAAAUGCUAGAGAUUUCUGUAUAUUAAUCUUGUAUCCUGCAACUUUACUGAAUUCACUGAUGAGAUCCAGCAGUUUUCUGAUCUCAUCUUUAGGGGUUUUUAUGUAUAAUAUCAUGUCAUUGGCAAAGAGCAACAGGUUUUUUCCUUCUUUUCCAAUUUUGAUUCCUUUUAUUUCUUUUUCUUCUCUGAUUGUGGUGGAGAGGACUUCCAAAACCAUGUUGAAUAAAAGUGGGGAGAGUGAUAUCCUUAUGCAUCUCUGAGCAGCUAUAGUUACCCACUGCUGAGAAAUCCACUGAUAGCCUAAAGGAGUUCAUUUCUAUUUUGCAAUCUGCACACCUCUGCCCCUACCCAGCAAAAUCAAAGAAUUCUUUGAUUUUGAUACUUUGAUUUGGUACUUUCAUUACAAUGUAACUUAAAAAAGUCUUUUUCAUUAAAAUAAUAGUGUGAUCUAUUAGCUUCUUGGACAUAGAUCUCCAAUUAUAUCCAGGUAUAGGAAGAUUUCAGCAAUUACUAUUUGAACUAAAUUUUCUAUCCUCUUCUCUCUUCACCUUCCUGAAUCAAUAUUAUUUAGACAUUUUUUCUUUCACUUGAGUCCCACAGAUAAUGCAGGCUUUCUUCACUCAUUUUUAUUCUUCACACUUUGUUCUCUUGGAACUGUUAUUUGAAAGUUCCUAUUCUCUAACCCAGUUAUUCUAUCUUCCUUUUGCUCUAUUCUACCACGGUGCUCUGCAUUUCCAUCUCAUUCACUGAAUUCCUCAGUUUCAGAAUUUGUUUGGCUCUUUAUUAGCAUUUUUUUCUUUUUUAAUUUUAUUUUUUGGUAAAGAACUCCUUCUGUUCAUUUACAUUUUCCUAAUUCCAUUGAACUGUCUAAGUUUCUUAUAACUCACUGAGUUUCCUCAAUAUAUAGUUGUUUUUGAUUUUUUAACAGCUACAUUUCAGUAUCCCAUGCUUUGGGUUCAGUUGUUGGAGAUUUAUUGACAUUGUUGGUGUUGGCACAUUUCCUUUCGUUAUUAAAUUUCUUGUUCUAACAUCCAUACCCAAAUGAACAUACAAGGAGACUGCCAUAGAGUGUGAUGAAUGAGGGCUCAGCAUCUGGAGCUUUAGGGAUGCCCAUACCAUUUUCCACAUUCUACAUGAAAGAGACAGUCUCUUUCAACCUUCUCUGUGGGGUAGUUUGCCACUGGCGCUGCCAGGCACCUUAGCCCAUUUCAAUGUCACCCUGGGGAGAAAAAGGUGGCUCAGGCUGAGUUCCUCCUUCUCCACUGAGUCCAAACUAAUCCUUAUCCCACUUCUAUGAUGUGUAAGAAUCUUCUCUCAGACUGAAUUUCUACAAAUUUUCUCUCAUCUGUUGUGUUUCUCAUCAUUAUGUUUUUGUCACAGUCAGUAAUUUCUGGGGUUUUUUUUCCCUUGACCAAUGUGAGUGGAGACAUGGAAGGUUUGCCAAUCUCAUGGAUAUGCAAUCCAUACCAAGAUCUUGGAUGUUUACUGCAUGAUGCAAUAAAAAGCAAGAGUCUUCCUGGGUCCAGAGUGAGGAGGAACUUUAGCCAGUUGCCAUGGUCUUUAGAAUGGAAAAGUCUUGUUGCUAAGCAGUUCAAUCUGGAGCUUAAUCAACUAAGAGAUAAAAGGCAAGAAAUUUUUAUUGCCCUUUGCCACGUAAUGUUUCAAAUAAAAACAUCUUUAUUCUUAGACAUUGGUGGCACAAACUAUCAUAAAGCUAUAGCAAUAAAAUACCAUGGGAAUUAUUAAUUCUACCUCUGGUAAGUCAAGAAUUUAAUUUUGAAGGGGAGAAGUACUAGAAUUUGCAUACCUGAAGACAUAUACACAGCAAUCAAAUACAGUAUGAUUCUCUGCCAAAUGAUCAGAACUAAAGGAGGAUCUAUGUCCUUUAUUCUGCUGUUAUGUCCUAUUCUGCUCUAUUUUACUUGGUUGAGAGCCACAAAAUUAUGUUUUUUAAUGGGUUGUUACUCAUAGCUUGGAAAACACUAAAUUAGGCUAUAAAUAAGAGAGAGCGAGAAGGUGAUAAUUAAAAUAUAGAGACAGCUGAAUUUGAUGAAGCUGUGGGGGGAUGAAAGGAAUUUAUAAAAGUUUGAUAUAUGGCAGUCUGUAUCUAAGUUACUGUACUAUUAUGGCACCAUAUCACAUUAUUACUGAAAAUGUUACAUUCCAUCCAGAUGUUAUCCUAAGAGUCAGUGUAUAAAUUAAUAUUACAAGGACAAAUGCAGUCUGCCUCAAAUAUUCUUGGAGUUAAUUUUCCUAUUGCAUGCUCUCAAGCUGAGGUCUUAAAAAUAAAUCUGACCAAUUUAAAUUGGUUCAUUUCACUUUUUUGGUUCAUUUCACUCUUAAUAAUUCUUGUCACAAUACAUACUAUAUAAUAAUUACCAAAUACAUAUCAAGACACCAAGAACAAAUCAUGACAAUAAGAUUUUACUCAAAAUUUAGAAGUAGAAAUUAUGAGGAUUUUUAUUCACAAGUUAGAUACUGGUGUCUGCAAAGAUUUCAUUUAGGGAUAUUCUGUUCUUAUGGAGUCUUGGCAUUUUGUGAAAUAUCCUCCUCUUUGGUACUAAAAAAGUACACAAAUAUCUGAGGAUCUCAAGUCACUUUAAUUAUGAAGAUACUAUUCAGCCUAAAACAAGCCCCCAACCAAUUAUCUGCAACAAUCAAUAAAGGAAAAAAAUAUCUAAUUUUGUAUUAAACAUGCACAAAGAAAACUUGGCUUUAUGAUUUAAAGAACCAUUAGUGAAACUUAAUAACUACUUGUGAAAUAAAGACAGUAGAUUUCUCAGCUGACAGUCUAUAUGUUAAUGAGAAAAUACAGACGUCAUAAUAGUUAUUUAUAACUAUAAACUUAAUAAACAAUGUGGGCAACAAAGCUCGAUGUACUAAAAACAUGUUGAAGUAAAUAUCAGUUCAUGAUUUCAUUUUUUAGAGUGAAGUAUACCAGGUAAUUCAACUACCAAUUUGCAGUUCACCUUUUACUCAUUAAUUAGUAUAAACAUACACUGUGAUUCAUUUCCCCAGCAGUUUUCAUAGGUUUUUAUAGGAGUGAGAAAGUAAGGAAAAAUGAUUGAACUACUUGGGUUGAGGCUCUUAGCCAAUAGCGAUGGAAGUGAUGUAGCAUAGAACUAGGCUAGAGAUAAAAGAUAAAAUAAAGGGAACUCAAAAAGGGGGAAACAAUAAAAAAUUAUUUUCAUCCUUUAUAAAUUUUAGGAGUUCUGAUUAAGAAUAAAGUAGCCUGUUGAGAGUCCAGCAACCAGGCACAGACUACUGGCCCUACCCAUUGCCUCCCUCACCCUGAAAACACACUGACCAUCCCUGGGAUAGCAGCCUGCUCACAACAAAGAAAGAGAGAGCAAAUAAUCAAACUCCUACACCAAAAAUAAAGAGUAAC